UAUUCCAUUCAAGAAACUCCAUAAUCCAAAGGGACAUGAACGUUAGACCUUUUCUGUCAUUAUCCAUGAGACUUGGAAAUUAAUUCCUUGUGAAGGAUCAAACAACAUUCUGUCUUUGGCUUAAAACCAAAAACAGAAACCAUUUCGUCCAAACAUUUCAAGAAAUCAUAGCCAAAUUUCGUUUGAAAAUUUCAAAGAAGCAAGCACAAUUUCGUUCAAGGAUUCAGAAAGCAGGAAUCCAAUUUCUUUUGAGUUCUGAGUUCAAUCAACGAAGGUUCUCCAAUGGAAUAUUAUACAGAGUUUUUCCUACUCCAGGUAUGUUAAGGACAUCCCUUCUUUCUUUUGGCAUGGUCCAAAUUAUACUGAAGAAACGAACAAACACACAGUUUCCAUAAAUUACUCUACCCAUAGAGAUACUAGGGGUGUCUAUAUUCUUGAUUCCCCAUGUGAAUUAUUAUUAUCUUUUGUUCAUGGAUCUCAAAAUAAUACGCAGUUGAAAAAGUUUAUCUGGCAGAAAUAUUGAGAUUUUACGUACUUUUCAUGCAUUUUACCCAUUUAUACAUGUGCAUUGACCCAUGACCAAAUGACGUUAUAUACUCGUAUAUAUGUAUAUUAUAUUUAUAUGGGAUAUGGAAAAAGGUUACGACGUUAUAUACGAACACCACCUGAUCAGCUGGUAUAUGUUGAUGAUGUUGCCCAUAGUGGCCGAGACGAUAUGAUGGGAUGCCCUCAGUGGCUUGAUCAGAUUAUGUACACCUAUACCUAUGCAUGGCACGACAUUUAUAUGCACGUGCAUGACAUUACAAAUGUUUUAGAAUUUACAAAGUUGUUCAGAUUUAAAGACGUGUUUCUAUAUUCCAUGCUUCAUCUAUGUAUUUUACGCACUAAUUUUCAUACCUUACAUACUCAGUACAUUUUUCGUACUAACGCCCCAUUUCACGGGGCCUGUGUUUGAUGCCCGUAAGUACAGGUAGGCAAGCUGACGGUCCCCCUUCUUAGGAUCCCUGAUCAGCGAGAGUUAGCGUGCUCCACUUGAUCCAGAGCUGCUUUUGUUUUUGUACGAUAUGUUUAUAUAUAUAUAUAUAUAUGGGUAUGACGUGGCUCAGUCCCGUCUUUGUACAGUUAUGUUUCUUCUAGAGGUUUGUAGACAGUAUAUCUAGUUGGGUUGUAUGUGGCCUUGUCGGCUUUCAGUUUUGGAUGUAUAGUUAUCAAUAGCAGCCUUGCCGGCUCGCCUACUAUAUUCUCC
RNAcentral lists this long non-coding RNA (1246 nucleotides) under Nicotiana tabacum (common tobacco). RNAcentral's name for it is "long non-coding RNA (NTAB_LNC007089)". Lineage: Eukaryota; Viridiplantae; Streptophyta; Magnoliopsida; Solanales; Solanaceae. The record is from RNAcentral.